GUGAUCCGGUGGUUCUGUAUGGAAGGGCCAUCGCUCAACGGAUAAAAGGUACUCUGGGGAUAACAGGCUGAUACCGCCCAAGAGUUCAUAUCGACGGCGGUGUUUGGCACCUCGAUGUCGGCUCAUCUCAUCCUGGGGCUGAAGCAGGUCCCAAGGGUAUGGCUGUUCGCCAUUUAAAGAGGUACGCGAGCUGGGUUUAGAACGUCGUGAGACAGUUCGGUCCCUAUCUACCGUGGGCGCUGGAAAUUUGAGAGGAUCUGCUCCUAGUACGAGAGGACCAGAGUGGACGAACCUCUGGUGUACCGGUUGUGACGCCAGUCGCAUCGCCGGGUAGCUAUGUUCGGAAGGGAUAACCGCUGAAAGCAUCUAAGCGGGAAGCCUACCUCAAGAUAAGAUUUCCCUAGGACUUUAUGUCCUCUAAAGAGCCGUUCGAGACUAGGACGUUGAUAGGUUGGAUGUGGAAGCAUAGUGAUAUGUGAAGCUGACCAAUACUAAUUGCUCGUGAGGCUUGACUAUACAACACCCAAGCAGUUG
RNAcentral lists this ribosomal RNA (534 nucleotides) under Acinetobacter baumannii. RNAcentral's name for it is "bacterial LSU rRNA". It matches the Rfam family "Bacterial large subunit ribosomal RNA", at positions 2415 to 2925 of the family's 2925-position model. Lineage: Bacteria; Pseudomonadati; Pseudomonadota; Gammaproteobacteria; Moraxellales; Moraxellaceae. The record is from RNAcentral.